CACCAUGGCAGCUGCCUUGGCUCGGCUUGGUCUGCGGCCUGUCAAACAGGUUCGGGUUCAGUUCUGUCCCUUCGAGAAAAACGUGGAAUCGACGAGGACCUUCCUGCAGGCGGUGAGCAGUGAGAAGGUCCGCUCCACUAAUCUCAACUGCUCAGUGAUUGCGGACGUGAGGCAUGACGGCUCCGAGCCCUGCGUGGACGUGCUGUUCGGUGGGCUUGGUGGAGAGACGGGCAGGAGGGAACAGCGAGCAGCCCGCGCGCCCCUAAGCCCCAGCACUGCGGUUCCUCCCUCUCUCACUCGUUUGUUUCUUCCCCAGGAGACGGGCAUCGCCUGAUUAUGCGCGGCGCUCAUCUCACCGCUCUGGAAAUGCUCACCGCCUUCGCCUCCCACAUCCGGGCCAGGGACGCGGCGGGCAGCGGGGACAAGCCGGGUGCUGAUACUGGUCGCUGACAGCGCCAAAGAGACCAACAAGAUGAUUUUAGCGUGGACUAGGACACUUAACCUAAGAAGAGUUUCACUUAAUCAUUCAAAUCACUAUCUGGAGGGCCACGGAGCGCAAAAUAAAGUUUAAAACCC
Molecule: small RNA, 576 nt
Filed under: Pan troglodytes (chimpanzee)
Lineage: Eukaryota; Metazoa; Chordata; Mammalia; Primates; Hominidae
Description: retained intron
Source: RNAcentral